RNAcentral lists this ribosomal RNA (328 nucleotides) under Fusarium chlamydosporum. Its description in RNAcentral is "eukaryotic LSU rRNA". The stretch from base 1 to 115 matches the Rfam family "5.8S ribosomal RNA", at positions 40 to 154 of the family's 154-position model. The record is from RNAcentral. Lineage: Eukaryota; Fungi; Ascomycota; Sordariomycetes; Hypocreales; Nectriaceae.
AGAACGCAGCAAAAUGCGAUAAGUAAUGUGAAUUGCAGAAUUCAGUGAAUCAUCGAAUCUUUGAACGCACAUUGCGCCCGCCAGUAUUCUGGCGGGCAUGCCUGUUCGAGCGUCAUUUCAACCCUCAAGCUCAGCUUGGUGUUGGGACUCGCGGUAACCCGCGUUCCCCAAAUCGAUUGGCGGUCACGUCGAGCUUCCAUAGCGUAGUAAUCAUACACCUCGUUACUGGUAAUCGUCGCGGCCACGCCGUAAAACCCCAACUUCUGAAUGUUGACCUCGGAUCAGGUAGGAAUACCCGCUGAACUUAAGCAUAUCAAUAAGCGGAGGA